AUGCUGGUGCCGGGCGUAACCGCUGACUUGGGUCCUUGUUGCUUCCCUGGUCCCCUGAUUCCUCCCUUGGGGUGGGCUGAGCGCGCGCACGGUGGCCUGCCACACCUGGGCGGGGCCGCGCGCAGGGCGUGGUCACUGAGGUUGUGCGCAUGCUCACUUGAGGAGUUCUUCCCUUACCGAUCCAGCGUUCCUGGAGGAAGGUCACGUACCGGUUACACGCCACCAUUUUGCCCUCAGUGCGCAUGCUUGAGCUCACUCACUCCACUCCUGAGAUCUUACUGGGAUCAUCACCAGUUUCAGGUCCCUAUUUUGUCUCUGCCUGGGCCGGCCUGUCUGGGGGACAGUGUUCUAGGGUCACGUGCACAUCCUGCCUCCGAGCAGCUGCCUGACAUAGGCCCCCACAAGAGCAGGGAAGAUGAGCAGACACAUUCCAUGAUGGCUGGGUGAAGAGGCAGGCAGUGGGGUGAGCUGGGUGAAAACCAAAGGUCCUUGCCCGGCCCUUCCCUGGCUGUGUGCUGUGGGGCCUGGACUCCCCUCUCUGAGUUUCAGUUUCCUGUUUCUUUCUUUUUAAAAAAAAAAAAAAAGAAAGAAAGGAAGAAAAAGAAAGAAAAGAAGAAAGAAAAAAGAAGAAUGAAAGAAAGAAAGAGGAAGAGAAAGAGGGAGAGAGAACGGGAAUCUUGCUCUAUUGCCCAGGCUAGAAUGCAGUCUAAAAAUGUGUAUUGAAAACCUCUUUUAUGCCAAUAAUUGUGCUUAGCAAUGGAGACAGGAAGGAAUAAGGGAGGAAAAUAACAAACAAACAGCCAAUCGAUAUUUCAUUUAAACCUGUGAAAUGCUAUGCAGUUGCUGAGGAGUGAUUUACUUCCAAUUAUGUGGUCACUUUUAGAAUAGGUGUGAUGUGAUACUGAGAAAAACGUAUGUUUUGUGGAUUUAAGGUGGAGAGUUAUGUAAAUGUCUAUUAAGUUUACUGUUCCAGGUCUGAGUUCAAGUCCUGGAUAUCCUUGUUAAUUUCUGUCUCUUUGAUCUGUCUAAUAUUGACAGUGGAGUGUUAAAGUCUCCCACUAUUAUUGUGUGGGAGUCUAGGUCUCUUCAUAAGUCAUUAAGAACUUGCCUUAUGUAUCUGGGUGCUCCUGUAUUGGGUACGUAUAUAUUUAGGAUCGCUAGCUCUUCUUGUUGUAUCGAUCCUUUUGCCAUUAUGUAAUGGAGGACAGGUAAUUUAUAUUACCUGUUACAUUAAUAGGUUUAUCCUAAAUAAAUCAAAAAGAGCAUCCUAAAAAUGCGAUUAUUUCUCCAAAUUCAUUAAUUCAUUGGUUUGUAUUUAAAGCUGGCAGUGCCCUCUUCUCUGCUGUUUUGCUGUCAGAUUUUCCAGUCUUACAAGUGUCCAUUUGCUAGUCGUGUAUGUGAACACGUCCAGUCCGUCUGGCAGUGGACUCUGACACCCCCCACCUCUGGUCUUCUGGCAUCUCUUGUCCCCGUGGCUGGCAUUCAAACCCAGAUGUCUGAGUUUCCAAGGACUAUGUUUUUCCAUGUGUCACAGAAACUCUAACGCUGUCUGCAGUCUUACUGUGACCGUGAUCACUUUUGCUCUUGUGAGACACACGGUCCUUCAGCUCAGAUUUGGCCAUCAUACUUUUAAUUCCCACUCUCAUUUGGCUCUUAACACAAGUUUAAAAAGAAUAUGGAAAAGCUCUGAAGAAAACCUCACCCUCUUGCACCUUCCUGAAGGAAGAACCAACUGCUAUCUCCCUCCCAGUGAGGAAGAGAGGAAGAACCUCCUAUUUUCAGAGGUGGCCUAUGGAGGAGAAAACCCCAGUUUCCAUCCACAGGGUGGUCUCUCGGGAAGAUUCUGGGGCCAUCCUAGAAGAGUUAGGUGGGAGGGGCAGGAUGUGGUGGCUCACGCCUGUAAUCCCAGCACUUUGGGAAGCCAAGGCGGGCCAAUUGCUUGAGGUCAGGAGUUCGAGACCAGCCUUGCCCAACAUGGUGAAACUCCUUCUCCACUAAAAAUACAAAAAUUAGCUGGGCAUGGUAGUAUGUGCCUGUAAUACCAGCUAUUUGGAAAACUGAGGCUGAAGAAUCACUUGAACCUGGGAGGUGGAGGUUGCGGUGAGCCAGGAACAUGCCACUGUACUCUAACCUGAGUGACAGAGUGAGACUCGGUCUCAAAAAAAAAGUUAGG
Molecule: long non-coding RNA, 2173 nt
Organism: Callithrix jacchus (white-tufted-ear marmoset)
Lineage: Eukaryota; Metazoa; Chordata; Mammalia; Primates; Cebidae
Source: Ensembl